GGAAACGAUAGCUAAUAGCCGCAUAAUAGCAGUUAUUGCAUGAUAACUGUUUGAAAGGUGCAAAUGCAUCACUACCAGAUGGACCUGCGUUGUAUUAGCUAGUUGGUGGGGUAACGGCUCACCAAGGCGACGAUACAUAGCCGACAUGAGAGGGUGAUCGGCCACACUGGGAUGAGACACGGCCCAGACUCCUACGGGAGGCAGCAGUAGGGAAUCUUCGGCAAUGGACGGAAGUCUGACCGAGCAACGCCGCGUGAGUGAAGAAGGUUUUCGGAUCGCAAAGCUCUGUUGUAAGAGAAGAACGAGUGUGAGAGUGGAAA
Molecule: ribosomal RNA, 320 nt
Filed under: Streptococcus mitis
Lineage: Bacteria; Bacillati; Bacillota; Bacilli; Lactobacillales; Streptococcaceae
Description: bacterial SSU rRNA
Rfam family: Bacterial small subunit ribosomal RNA
Source: RNAcentral